GACGAACGCUGGCGGCGUGCUUAACACAUGCAAGUCGAGCGGUAAGGCCCCUUCGGGGGUACACGAGCGGCGAACGGGUGAGUAACACGUGGGUAACCUGCCCUCCACAUUGGGAUAACCCCGGGAAACCGGGGCUAAUACCGAAUACCCACCACUACGGGGCAUCCCGGGUGAUGGAAAGCUCCGGCGGUGGAGGAUGGACUCGCGGCCUAUCAGCUUGUUGGUGAAGUAACGGCUCACCAAGGCGACGACGGGUAGCCGGCCUGAGAGGGUGACCGGCCACACUGGGACUGAGACACGGCCCAGACUCCUACGGGAGGCAGCAGUGGGGAAUAUUGGACAAUGGGCGAAAGCCUGAUCCAGCAACGCCGCGUGAGGGAUGACGGCCUU
This 390-nucleotide ribosomal RNA is filed under the name uncultured bacterium. Its description in RNAcentral is "bacterial SSU rRNA". It matches the Rfam family "Bacterial small subunit ribosomal RNA", at positions 28 to 418 of the family's 1533-position model. The record is from RNAcentral.